UGUUUUACUAAAGUUUUGAUUUUUUAAUCCUAAUUGGUGUUAUUUUAAUAAAUUUUUAAUAUAAAUUUAAAAUUAAUUACAUAUAUAAAAAAAAGCCUUGGACUAGUCUCCGUUGUAAGAAGACUGGAGGUGACGAGAAGAAGACAAAACUGUCUUUGCACGUGAAUUUGACCAAUUGAUUAAGCUCCUUUAUUUUCUAAUUUUUAAUCUAAUUAAAAUGAUAAUUAAUUCAUGAAAUAUAAUUAAUUCUAAUACACGAAUUCGGUAAAAAAAAAUUCCAAACACACAUUAAUUAUCAUAUUCAUAACCUCCAGUUAACUUAACUCUUUAGUAAGACAAAGAGUGUUGACACUUUGAAAUAUACAAAUUAUUAUUUUCAAUACUUCCCCUUAAUUUUCAAAUUUUAUUUUUUCCCUUAUAUUAGCAUGUAGCUUUUGAAAAAGUUUCAAACUUGAGUGAUUUGGUGAAAAUAUUUGUAACUUGAUAUUGAGUUUUUACGCACUUGAGCUCAACUUUCUUUUUAAAAAUGCAAUCCCUUAUGAAAUAAUUCCUUAUAUCUAUGUGCUUGUUUUAUUCAUAAAAUACCGGGUUCUUAACUAAUACUUGCACCAAUUUAUUUUUAAUAGAAAUUUCAGCAGCUUCUCCUUGAGCUAAGUGAAGUUCAUUUAAACUCUUUAGUUUUGAGUCAAGACCUUUCUCUUUCUCCUCUAAGUUUCUCCACUUUCUUAUCCAAUUUUUGCUCUAGUUUGCAACCUUCUCCUCUGUGUGUUUUACUUCAACUUCUGUCUUCUCCACUUUAGUCACCUUGGUUUUUAGGUCCUUAGCCACAUAUUUUCUCCAUUGAUCAACUUUCAAUUCAAAUUCAUGCUUCUUCGCAUCCAUAACGGCAUUUAUGUUCAUCAAGUAGUUUUUGAGUUUCAACGUUUUCAAUAGUAUUUAACUUUUUCUCUAUUGUAAGCAAUUCUUUUCUAUGUUAUUUCUCAUAACAUCAUACUGUUCUUUUUAUUAGAAAUAAACUGAAAGAUAAAAAGUUGUUAUUAAUGUAAAAAUAUAAAAUUAAAGAUAAGUAGAAAAAUAUAUUAAAAAAAUAAAAUACAUUAAAUUCAAUCUGAAUGGGAUACUGUUACACAACAACACAUAGCCUAUAUAUAGGUAGCAAAAAUCGCCUAUUAAUUUUUCUCUAUGUAACCACACAUUCAUUUUAUUUAAUCGCUAUUUAAUUUUUACUAUUUAAUUUUGUUUUAAUAUUUUCAUAAUUACUAAUUUAUAAUUUUUAAUCGUAAUAGAUAAUUUAUAAUUUUUAUAAAUUAAUUCUUACAUAAUUUUGAAUCAUUUAUUCAACCCUCUCUCUUGAUUCAAAAUUGCAUACACUAAGUAACGAUUUAAAAUAGACAUGUUUCUGAUAUGGAAGUGCUACUUUUGUAAAUAUAUAUAUUACUCGUUCAAUCUUUUCCUUUAAUUUGAAUGUCUUUAUUAUCUUCAAACUUGAUUGUCG
Molecule: long non-coding RNA, 1495 nt
Filed under: Carica papaya (papaya)
Lineage: Eukaryota; Viridiplantae; Streptophyta; Magnoliopsida; Brassicales; Caricaceae
Description: long non-coding RNA (CPAP_LNC014083)
Source: RNAcentral